This 657-nucleotide ribosomal RNA is filed under the name uncultured Carnobacteriaceae bacterium. Its description in RNAcentral is "bacterial SSU rRNA". It matches the Rfam family "Bacterial small subunit ribosomal RNA", at positions 67 to 701 of the family's 1533-position model. The record is from RNAcentral. Lineage: Bacteria; Bacillati; Bacillota; Bacilli; Lactobacillales; Carnobacteriaceae.
CUUUUCUAUGGAAGCUUGCUUCCACUGAGAAGAUAGUGGCGGACGGGUGAGUAACACGUGGGUAACCUGCCCAUAAGAGGGGGAUAACAUCCGGAAACGGGUGCUAAUACCGCAUAGUUUUCUUGAUCGCAUGAUUGAGAAAGGAAAGACGGCCUUUGUGCUGUCGCUUAUGGAUGGACCCGCGGCGUAUUAGUUAGUUGGUGAGGUAACGGCUCACCAAGACGAUGAUACGUAGCCGACCUGAGAGGGUGAUCGGCCACAUUGGGACUGAGACACGGCCCAAACUCCUACGGGAGGCAGCAGUAGGGAAUCUUCCGCAAUGGACGAAAGUCUGACGGAGCAACGCCGCGUGAGUGAAGAAGGUUUUCGGAUCGUAAAACUCUGUUGUCAGAGAAGAACAAGUCGGAGAGUAACUGCUCCGGCCUUGACGGUAUCUGACCAGAAAGCCACGGCUAACUACGUGCCAGCAGCCGCGGUAAUACGUAGGUGGCAAGCGUUGUCCGGAUUUAUUGGGCGUAAAGCGAGCGCAGGCGGUUCCUUAAGUCUGAUGUGAAAGCCCACGGCUCAACCGUGGAAGGUCAUUGGAAACUGGGGAACUUGAGUGCAGAAGAGGAGAGUGGAAUUCCAUGUGUAGCGGUGAAAUGCGUAGAUAUAUGG